This 254-nucleotide ribosomal RNA is filed under the name uncultured bacterium. RNAcentral describes it as "partial 16S ribosomal RNA". It matches the Rfam family "Bacterial small subunit ribosomal RNA", at positions 524 to 776 of the family's 1533-position model. The record is from RNAcentral.
UACGUAGGGGGCAAGCGUUGUCCGGAUUUAUUGGGCGUAAAGAGCUCGUAGGCGGUUUGGUAAGUCUGGUGUGAAAUCUCCACGCUCAACGUGGAGGGGCCACCCGAUACUGCCAUGACUGGAGUCCGGUAGAGGAGUGUGGAAUUCCCGGUGUAGCGGUGAAAUGCGCAGAUAUCAGGAAGAACACCAAUGGCGAAAGCAGCUCUCUGGGACGGUACUGACGCUGAGACGCGAAAGCGUGGGGAGCGAACAGG